Molecule: ribosomal RNA, 496 nt
Filed under: uncultured bacterium
Lineage: Bacteria
Description: partial 16S ribosomal RNA
Rfam family: Bacterial small subunit ribosomal RNA
Source: RNAcentral
AUUGAACGCUGGCGGCAUGCUUUACACAUGCAAGUCGAACGGUAGAGGGGGCAACCCCUUGAGAGUGGCGAACGGGUGAGUAAUGCAUCGGAACGUGCCCAGUCGUGGGGGAUAACGCAGCGAAAGCUGUGCUAAUACCGCAUACGAUCUCUGGAUGAAAGCGGGGGACCGAAAGGCCUCGCGCGAUUGGAGCGGCCGAUGUCAGAUUAGGUAGUUGGUGGGGUAAAGGCUCACCAAGCCAACGAUCUGUAGCUGGUCUGAGAGGACGACCAGCCACACUGGGACUGAGACACGGCCCAGACUCCUACGGGAGGCAGCAGUGGGGAAUUUUGGACAAUGGGCGCAAGCCUGGUCCAGCAAUUCCGCGUGCAGGAAGAAGGCCUUCGGGUUGUAAACUGCCUUUGUACGGAACGAAAAGGUCUGGGUUAAUACCCUGGGCACAUGACGGUACCGUAAGAAUAAGCACCGGCUAACUACGUGCCAGCCGCCGCAGUAA